UUGCAUCAAUCAGUGCUUUCUUCUUCCUAGGAAUGGAUGUUGAAUGGAUCCAGGAAUUUCAGAAAGUGCUGCCAGAGUUGGACCACGAAAAACUGAUGACCAUUACAGGACACCUUUCAUCUGUGGUUGGAGUAACAAAGAAGGAGGACCUUGCUUUUGUGGAGAAGGAAGACUUCCAAGAAUAUCUGACACCCAUACAGUGCCGAAAAGUAAUCCAGGCCUUCAAACAAAGAGAACUGAAUGACAAAGGGACCAGUGAAGUCACCAUCACUCUAAGUGAAGAGACGCCUCCCCUUUCAUCUGUUCUUCUUGAGAAUAAAUCCAGAAGAUGGAACAAAAUGCACCGCACGGACUGGAGUGAGUCGGAAGACUGGAGUGUUGGUGAAGCGGAAGACAGCCACUAUAAACAACAGAGUGCUGUCCUUUCUUCGCCAGCUAACAGACUUUGAGUGGAAGAACUUGAAUUAGGUUCUGUGUAGCUGCAGCUGAAGACAAAUACAAUCUCAUGAAAUGGGGCUACACCCUGUCCAGGUUCAUCAUCCAUUACACACACAAAGAACCACAUGCACAUUCAUUCUUUGCUGGACUGUCAUUUAGAAUGUAAGCCUGCACCUAACAGUCAAUAUAAGGUUCAUUUGAUCAAUUUAUGUUUAUGUAAGGUUCUUCUUUUGUUCCUUUUUGAGUGCAAUCAAAUUCUUACAAAAGAGGUUGAACGGUUAUACUGUUUAAUGCUGUUUCUAUUGUUUGUUACAACUGUUGUUCUUUGAACUACUGAUUUUUAUAAUAUGACUUGAAUUUGAAUGAAUAACAACUUUACUAAAUGUUUGAACUGGA
This is an RNA transcript of Cyprinodon tularosa, 834 nucleotides long. RefSeq lists it as uncharacterized. The transcript is spliced from 4 exons. NCBI's taxonomy places the organism in Eukaryota, Metazoa, Chordata, Actinopteri, Cyprinodontiformes, Cyprinodontidae. The record is from RefSeq and is a predicted model, not a curated record.